Molecule: ribosomal RNA, 900 nt
Filed under: uncultured archaeon
Lineage: Archaea
Description: bacterial SSU rRNA
Rfam family: Archaeal small subunit ribosomal RNA
Source: RNAcentral
GUGGCAGCAGCCGCGGUAAAACCAGCACCUCAAGUGGUCAGGAGGAUUAUUGGGCCUAAAGCAUCCGUAGCCUGUUCUGUAAGUUUCCGGUUAAAUCCAUUAGCUCAACUAAUGGGCUGCCGAAAAUACUGCAGAACUAGGGAGUGGGAGAGGUAGACGGUACUCGGUAGGAAGGGGUAAAAUCCUUUGAUCUAUUGAUGACCACCUGUGGCGAAGGCGGUCUACCAGAACACGUUCGACGGUGAGGGAUGAAAGCUGGGGGAGCAAACCGGAUUAGAUACCCGGGUAGUCCCAGCUGUAAACGAUGCAGACUCGGUGAUGCGCUGGCUUGUGGCCAGUGCAGUGCCGCAGGGAAGCCGUUAAGUUUGCCGCCUGGGAAGUACGUACGCAAGUAUGAAACUUAAAGGAAUUGGCGGGGGGGCACCACAAGGGGUGAAGCCUGCGGUUCAAUUGGAGUCAACGCCAGAAAUCUUACCCGAAGGGACAGCAGAAUGAAGGUCAAGCUGGAGACUUUACCAGACAAGCUGAGAAGUGGUGCAUGGCCGUCGCCAGCUCGUGCCGUGAGAUGUCCUGUUAAGUCAGGUAACGAGCGAGAUCCCUGCCUCUAGUUGCUACCAUUACUCUCCGGAGUAGUGGGGCGAAUUAGCGGGACCGCCGCAGUUAAUGCGGAGGAAGGAAGGGGCCACGGCAGGUCAGUAUGCCCUGAAACUUUGGGGCCACACGCGGGCUGCAAUGGUAGCGACAAUGUGUUCCGAAACCGAAAGGUGGAGGUAAUCCUCAAACGCUACCACAGUUAUGAUUGAGGGCUGCAACUCGUCCUCAUGAAUAUGGAAUCCCUAGUAACUGCGUGUCAUUAUCGCGCAGUGAAUACGUCCCUGCUCCUUGCACACACCGCCCGUC